This 253-nucleotide ribosomal RNA is filed under the name uncultured bacterium. RNAcentral's name for it is "partial 16S ribosomal RNA". It matches the Rfam family "Bacterial small subunit ribosomal RNA", at positions 524 to 776 of the family's 1533-position model. The record is from RNAcentral.
UACAGAGGGUGCGAGCGUUGUUCGGAAUUAUUGGGCGUAAAGCGCUUGUAGGCGGCGCGUCAAGUCGCGUGUGAAAUCCCGAGGCUCAACCUCGGAAGUGCGCGCGAAACUGGCGUGCUCGAGUCCCGGAGAGGGUGGCGGAAUUCCCGGUGUAGAGGUGAAAUUCGUAGAUAUCGGGAGGAACACCAGAGGCGAAGGCGGCCACCUGGAAGGAGACUGACGCUGAGAAGCGAAAGCGUGGGGAGCAAACAGG